CAGUCGCCGCGGUAAUACGAAGGGUGCAAGCGUUACUCGGAAUUACUGGGCGUAAAGCGUGCGUAGGCGGUGAGUUAAGUCUGCUGUGAAAUCCCCGGGCUCAACCUGGGAAUGGCAGUGGAUACUGGCUCGCUAGAGUGUGUCAGAGGAUGGUGGAAUUCCCGGUGUAGCGGUGAAAUGCGUAGAGAUCGGGAGGAACAUCAGUGGCGAAGGCGGCCAUCUGGGACAACACUGACGCUGAGGCACGAAAGCGUGGGGAGCAAACAGGAUUAGAUACCCCAGUAGUCCCUGUCUCUUAUAC
This 301-nucleotide ribosomal RNA is filed under the name uncultured bacterium. Its description in RNAcentral is "partial 16S ribosomal RNA". It matches the Rfam family "Bacterial small subunit ribosomal RNA", at positions 509 to 807 of the family's 1533-position model. The record is from RNAcentral.